Molecule: long non-coding RNA, 555 nt
Organism: Drosophila kikkawai
Lineage: Eukaryota; Metazoa; Arthropoda; Insecta; Diptera; Drosophilidae
Source: RefSeq, a predicted model, not a curated record
UGUUCUGGUUGUCAUUUUGGGCUUUUAUUAUUAUUACCGUUCCCCUGCCACCGAAAUUCCCUGGAAUGGCAGCAACAAAAGCUCGUAUAAUGGAAUUUAUUUUAUGGGCCAACAGACAACGCUGUCCAUAUGUUCCAGGGCAAUAUUUUUUAAUGCCCCGCCUGGAGGCGUAAAGAAAAUAAAAACAACAAGACACCCGAAGACAAUUAAAAUUUAUUCAACGUUCUUCGAGAGUAGAAAUUGUGGGGAAUAUAGAAACAUAAAUAUGUAAUAAGCAACAUUCUGAUGAAAGAAGGCGGCAUUAUGCGACUUACAUUAGCGUGUUAAUGCAAUUAAAAAGUCGGCUCAAGGCGCCAGGAUACCCAAAAAAAAAAUUAUAAUAGAGGGGCCACAGGACAAUGAAUCUUCGGACCAAGGCAAAAGAAAAGAGAAAAAAAAUUAAAUUAAAAACGCUUUUCCCCAAAGGAGACAAUGACGGGGGGAGGCUUUUCUCUGGCUAAAAGAUAACUCAAACCUAAAGAUUGUGGAAUGCCUAAUAAAGGUAUUCAUUUAUAA